This is a small RNA of Pseudomonas sp. HPB0071, 185 nucleotides long. It matches the Rfam family "Pseudomonas sRNA P27". Lineage: Bacteria; Pseudomonadati; Pseudomonadota; Gammaproteobacteria; Pseudomonadales; Pseudomonadaceae. The record is from Rfam.
GGGUUUUACUCCUGGAUGUUACCGUAUCGCCCAACCUAAGCCGGACGUCGUUUUGGUGUCUGACUCGGUAACCGAAUCGGGAGCACCAUCUGCGUAGGCUUAAUUUAAGACUUUCGUCACCUACGGUCUUGGACAGCCCCCGCCAGGCAGGGACCCCAAUAAGAGAGCGAAGCAGUGCUUCGCUC